RNAcentral lists this ribosomal RNA (301 nucleotides) under uncultured bacterium. Its description in RNAcentral is "partial 16S ribosomal RNA". It matches the Rfam family "Bacterial small subunit ribosomal RNA", at positions 509 to 807 of the family's 1533-position model. The record is from RNAcentral.
CAGUCGCCGCGGUAAUACGGAGGGUGCAAGCGUUAUCCGGAUUCACUGGGUUUAAAGGGUGCGUAGGCGGAUCUGUAAGUCAGUGGUGAAAUCUCCAGGCUUAACCUGGAAACUGCCGUUGAUACUAUAGGUCUUGAAUUUUGUGGAGGUUAGCGGAAUAUGUCAUGUAGCGGUGAAAUGCAUAGAUAUGUCUCAGAACACCAAUUGCGAAGGCAGCUUACUAAGGUAUGAUUGACGCUGAUGCACGAAAGCGUGGGGAUCAAACAGGAUUAGAUACCCCCGUAGUCCCUGUCUCUUAUAC